RNAcentral lists this ribosomal RNA (462 nucleotides) under uncultured bacterium. RNAcentral's name for it is "partial 16S ribosomal RNA". It matches the Rfam family "Bacterial small subunit ribosomal RNA", at positions 338 to 795 of the family's 1533-position model. The record is from RNAcentral.
CCUACGGGAGGCAGCAGUGAGGAAUAUUGGUCAAUGGACGCAAGUCUGAACCAGCCAAGUAGCGUGCAGGAUGACGGCCCUCCGGGUUGUAAACUGCUUUUAGUUGGGAAUAAAAGGGGGCUCGUGAGCCCCGUCUUGUAUGUACCAUCAGAAAAAGGACCGGCUAAUUCCGUGCCAGCAGCCGCGGUAAUACGGAAGGUCCGGGCGUUAUCCGGUUUUAUUGGGUUUAAAGGGAGCGUAGGCCGGUUUUUGAGUCAGCUGUGAAAGUCCGCGGCUCAACCGUGGAAUUGCAGUUGAAACUGGAGGCCUUGAGUGCACACAGGGAUGCCGGAAUUCAUGGUGUAGCGGUGAAAUGCUUAGAUAUCAUGAAGAACUCCGAGCGCGAAGGCAAGAGUCCGGGGUGCAACUGACGCUGAGGCUCGAAAGUGCGGGUAUCAAACAGGAUUAGAUACCCGGGUAGUC